RNAcentral lists this ribosomal RNA (834 nucleotides) under Brevibacterium aureum. RNAcentral's name for it is "bacterial SSU rRNA". It matches the Rfam family "Bacterial small subunit ribosomal RNA", at positions 22 to 864 of the family's 1533-position model. The record is from RNAcentral. Lineage: Bacteria; Bacillati; Actinomycetota; Actinomycetes; Micrococcales; Brevibacteriaceae.
GCUCAGGACGAACGCUGGCUGCGUGCUUAACACAUGCAAGUCGAACGCUGAAGCCGACAGCUUGCUGUUGGUGGAUGAGUGGCGAACGGGUGAGUAACACGUGAGUAACCUGCCCCUGAUUUCGGGAUAAGCCUGGGAAACUGGGUCUAAUACCGGAUAUGACCAAUCCUUGCAUGAGGGUUGGUGGAAAGUUUUUCGAUCGGGGAUGGGCUCGCGGCCUAUCAGCUUGUUGGUGGGGUAAUGGCCUACCAAGGCGACGACGGGUAGCCGGCCUGAGAGGGCGACCGGCCACACUGGGACUGAGACACGGCCCAGACUCCUACGGGAGGCAGCAGUGGGGAAUAUUGCACAAUGGGGGAAACCCUGAUGCAGCGACGCAGCGUGCGGGAUGACGGCCUUCGGGUUGUAAACCGCUUUCAGCAGGGAAGAAGCGAAAGUGACGGUACCUGCAGAAGAAGUACCGGCUAACUACGUGCCAGCAGCCGCGGUAAUACGUAGGGUACGAGCGUUGUCCGGAAUUAUUGGGCGUAAAGAGCUCGUAGGUGGUUGGUCACGUCUGCUGUGGAAACGCAACGCUUAACGUUGCGCGUGCAGUGGGUACGGGCUGACUAGAGUGCAGUAGGGGAGUCUGGAAUUCCUGGUGUAGCGGUGAAAUGCGCAGAUAUCAGGAGGAACACCGGUGGCGAAGGCGGGACUCUGGGCUGUAACUGACACUGAGGAGCGAAAGCAUGGGGAGCGAACAGGAUUAGAUACCCUGGUAGUCCAUGCCGUAAACGUUGGGCACUAGGUGUGGGGGACAUUCCACGUUCUCCGCGCCGUAGCUAACGCAUUAAG